Molecule: ribosomal RNA, 469 nt
Filed under: uncultured bacterium
Lineage: Bacteria
Description: partial 16S ribosomal RNA
Rfam family: Bacterial small subunit ribosomal RNA
Source: RNAcentral
GAUGAACGCUGGCGGCGUGCUUAACACAUGCAAGUCGAACGGUGAACACGGAGCUUGCUCUGUGGGAUCAGUGGCGAACGGGUGAGUAACACGUGAGCAACCUGCCCCUGACUCUGGGAUAAGCGCUGGAAACGGCGUCUAAUACUGGAUAUGUGACGUGACCGUAUGGUCUGCGUUUGGAAAGAUUUUUCGGUUGGGGAUGGGCUCGCGGCCUAUCAGCUUGUUGGUGAGGUAAUGGCUCACCAAGGCGUCGACGGGUAGCCGGCCUGAGAGGGUGACCGGCCACACUGGGAUUGAGACACGGCCCAGACUCCUACGGGAGGCAGCAGUGGGGAAUAUUGCACAAUGGGCGAAAGCCUGAUGCAGCAACGCCGCGUGAGGGAUGACGGCCUUCGGGUUGUAAACCUUUUUUAGCAGGGAAGAAGCGAAAGUGACGGUACCUGCAGAAAAAGCGCCGGCUAACUACGUG